UGCAAGUCGAACGCGAAAGUCCCCUUCGGGGGACAAGUAGAGUGGCGCACGGGUGAGUAACACGUAGGUAAUCUACCUUCGGAUGGGGAAUAACAACCGGAAACGGUUGCUAAUACCGCAUAAUGCAGCGGCACCUAAUGGUGACAGUUGUUAAAGCGGGGGAUCGAAAGACCUCGCGUCUGAAGAGGAGCCUGCGGCGGAUUAGCUAGUUGGUAAGGUAACGGCUUACCAAGGCUUCGAUCCGUAGCCGGCCUGAGAGGGCGGUCGGCCACACUGACACUGACAUACGGGUCAGACUCCUACGGGAGGCAGCAGUCGGGAAUUUUGGGCAAUGGGCGAAAGCCUGACCCAGCAACGCCGCGUGAAGGAUGAAAUCCCUCGGGAUGUAAACUUCGCAAGAACGGGAAGAAUAAGUAGGGGACAAUACCCCCUAUGAUGACGGUACCGUUUGUAAGCUCCGGCUAACUCCGUGCCAGCAGCCGCGGUAAUACGGGGGGAGCAAGCGUUGUUCGGAUUUACUGGGCGUAAAGGGCGCGUAGGCGGCCUCCGCAAGUCAAUUGUGAAAUCUCCGGGCUUAACUCGGAAAGGUCAACUGAUACUGCGGGGCUAGAGUGCGGAAGGGGCAACUGGAAUUCUUGGUGUAGCGGUGAAAUGCGUAGAUAUCAAGAGGAACACCUGCGGCGAAGGCGGGUUGCUGGGCCGACACUGACGCUGAGGCGCGAAAGCUAGGGGAGCGAACGGGAUUAGAUACCCCGGUAGUCCUAGCCUUAAACGAUGAAUGCUUGGUGUCU
RNAcentral lists this ribosomal RNA (791 nucleotides) under uncultured Bacillota bacterium. RNAcentral's name for it is "bacterial SSU rRNA". It matches the Rfam family "Bacterial small subunit ribosomal RNA", at positions 56 to 825 of the family's 1533-position model. The record is from RNAcentral. Lineage: Bacteria; Bacillati; Bacillota.